UGAAUGAUGAAUUUUAAUCAA
Molecule: non-coding RNA, 21 nt
Filed under: Caenorhabditis elegans
Lineage: Eukaryota; Metazoa; Nematoda; Chromadorea; Rhabditida; Rhabditidae
Source: RNAcentral